Molecule: ribosomal RNA, 253 nt
Filed under: uncultured bacterium
Lineage: Bacteria
Description: partial 16S ribosomal RNA
Rfam family: Bacterial small subunit ribosomal RNA
Source: RNAcentral
UACAGAGGGUGCGAGCGUUAAUCGGAAUUACUGGGCGUAAAGCGCACGUAGGUGGCUGUGUAAGUCGGGUGUGGAAUCCCCGGGCUCAACCUGGGAACUGCAUUCGAGACUGCAUAGCUGGAGUACGGAAGAGGAGGGCGGAAUUCCCAGUGUAGAGGUGAAAUUCGUAGAUAUUGGGAAGAACACCAGUGGCGAAGGCGGCUCUCUGGUCCGAUACUGACGCUGAGGUGCGAAAGCGUGGGGAGCAAACAGG